RNAcentral lists this long non-coding RNA (2531 nucleotides) under Homo sapiens (human). RNAcentral's name for it is "HSALNT0018301". The record is from RNAcentral. Lineage: Eukaryota; Metazoa; Chordata; Mammalia; Primates; Hominidae.
UUUGUAGCUGUAACAGAAUUUAAGUAGCUACUUUCUGAAAGAAAAAGUCAGUUUAACAAGACCCUAAUUUGAGAAUGUUUAAUUCUAUAAAUACAUUAUUAUGGCGACAGAGCAUAAAGUACAAAGUUCCCUAUGCUUAAGGAACCACUAAUAGAUUUGCCGAAAUAUCAAGGCACGAGGCACUGGCCUAUUCAGCUAAAACAGAAGUUCGUAUAAUUGGGAGUUAAGGCCAAGACACCAUUCAUAUGCCUCUUAUGCUCGAAGGCUAUGACCUUUAAACCUUUGUCUUUCUUCAAUCUCUCCCAUCUUUUAAAUACCCUAUAUACUCGUAAGUUGUUAGAAACCAGUACCAUCUUUUAAAGUCCUGGCAACUGUACCGUAUUUUAAUAAACACCAUUCCCUAAUUGAUUUGCUUCUGAAAUAGAUUACUGAAUACCUUUCAAACAUUGAACAUGAAGAGACAAAAAACUCUCUUAAUGGCAGUGAUUUUAGUAAAAUCGAUGGAUGUUUUGGCUAUCAUCACCUAAGUGUCUACCAUGACCAAACACUGAUGUCACCAUUUAAGUAACAAAACAAAUCAGGAAGUUUUGCUAAAUGAGAACUAAAUUUGCCUAGCCCUCCUUCCUUAUCUGGUUUGAUGCAAACAAUUUCCCUCUCAGCAAUAUAUUUACUUUCUAGAUGUAAGAGAAAAACUGAAAAUUUACAUCCUGACAUCCACUGUGAUGCAGAGGUGGACCUGACAAUUUGGACAAGUCAGUCUCUUUCAUCUUCCUAUGUCAGUUCGAAUGGGCUUUUAAGGUAAACUACUAUCUAAACUUUUUUUUUUUCAAUUACAAAGCUAAAAGAUGACCCGUAUUAAUAGCUUAACAGGAAACAAAGUUUUGCUGAAAAACAUUUUUGUGGAUAAGCGGGGCUUCAAAAGUUGGUUAAAUUACUUAGUAUUAGACACCCACAUAUUGGGUGACAAAUUGGUCUAAACUGACCUUAGAAAAGGCAGUUGUAGUGGCAGGUUUCUAGAACCUGACAGGUCGCCGAUAUUAGUAUCUAAUAGCAGUCCUCUGAUCUAGGAGGAAAAAUUAAACGUGUCUCUCUUGAUACUUAGUGGAGUCAGUAAACAAUGUCCUCAGUCUGCGAAUGACUGAUACUAAGAACCACACCUUCAAUUUUCUAGCUCAGGCCCUGGUUUCCCUCCUCCCACUUCCCUCCCAACCCAGGCAGGUUAUUACAGACAAGCAGGCAGUUACGUUGCUUCAAAAUAUUUAAUACGUGUUAGACACGUAGAAGUUACAUUUUUAUACAAAAAUCAAUACAACGAAGGAGAAAAUACUGUACAAAAACCUUAUCAGCUCCCCCAACCUUUAUACAACAAAGACUGGAGUCACCAUAUCUACAAAACCAUAAGGUCUUUCCACUUCGGGCUUCUGUCUGUAAACUCUCAUUAAACACUUUUUAAAAGCACUGUGUAGUACUUCUGACCUAGAGCUUUUAAAAAUAUAUCUUUUCUCUAUAAACUCCAUUAUUUCCAAGCUUGAACUCUUCUGUGAAGUUCGUCAAGCUUUUUCUCCCCUGCGGGGAAGCAAAGGACCGUUAAUACGCCCCUUUCCUAGAGUAAUCACAGGAUAUAAACGUUUCUUCAUUGGGAGAGAAAGGUGGGGAGGGACAGAAGGAAUCCAAGUCUGUGCUCUUGGCUAAAUCCCUCUCGUCUUAGGAAAUCCUGUGCGGAAACGCCACUCCUGGCCCUGAAGCGGGUCUAGCUUUCCGGUGAGGGGUAGGUGUAAAGUCCCUCCCUCCCCGGAGAACGAAUGGGGAACUCCCCGGCCCAAACCUUUUAGCCGCUUCCUUCUCCACGCAGCCGGCAGAGGAAAGUCCCUGUCUGCCCCCAAUCUCUUAAACCCUGGGGAAGGAGUGGUGCAUUCCAGAAGAGCAAAAUAGUCUUAAUGCCACAAGACAAACUUACAUACACAGACAUACACAAACACAAAAGUUAACGAUCGUCCUCUUCCAAUGAGCCUCAAGCUCCCAGGUCUCCAGAUAAGCCAGAUGCGCCCGGGGGCAGUUUGCGAUGCCCAGAGGCAACCAGUCUGCCCAACGCGCUCAGCGCCCGCGGUCUCUGGGCGUCCUCGCAGCCGGGAAGGGCCUGGCCCUCACUUCGGGGACGCCCGCUGCUCCACCUCCUCCCCGCAGGGGGGCCAAGGGCUCAGAAGGCCACGAUGGCUGUGCUCCAGGGGUUCAUGUCUCUCAGCACCGGCUUAUCGCAGCAGAUCUGCCCGGGCUCGGCGGCUUCCGGACCGCUCUCCUCUCCCUCCUCUUCCUCUCUGCCGCCCCCGGGGCUUUUCCGUAGGAGUCCCGAGAAACUGGAACCGAAGAUGCUGAUGAGGUUAGCCACGUUCCCGGUCUCCAUCUCCUCCGCGUCGUCGUCCUCUCCUCCACUCGGCGGCUGCUCUAAGUUCCGGCGGGGCUUCUUGAGCGGGGUCGAGCCGGGCAGCUUCCGUCGCGUCCGCCUCUCCGCCCUGAAAAACGUCCCCGACUCC